AUUGAACGCUGGCGGCAGGCUUAACACAUGCAAGUAGAGCGGGGUGAUGGUGCUUGCACUAUCACUUAGCGGCGGACGGGUGAGUAAUGCUUAGGAAUCUGCCUAUUAGUGGGGGACAACAUCCCGAAAGGGAUGCUAAUACCGCAUACGUCCUACGGGAGAAAGCAGGGGAUCACUUGUGACCUUGCGCUAAUAGAUGAGCCUAAGUCGGAUUAGCUAGUUGGUGGGGUAAAGGCCUACCAAGGCGACGAUCUGUAGCGGGGCUGAGAGGAUGAUCCGCCACGCUGGGGCUGGGACACGGCCCAGACUCCGACGGGAGGCAGCAGUGGGGAAUAUUGGACAAUGGGGGGAGCCCUGAUCCAGCCAUGCCGCGUGUGCGAAGAAGGCCUUAUGGUUGUAAAGCACUUUAAGCGAGGAGGAGGCUCUUUUGGUUAAUACCCAAGAUGAGUGGACGUUACUCGCAGAAUAAGCACCGGCUAACUCUGUGCCAGCAGCCGCCGUAA
This 503-nucleotide ribosomal RNA is filed under the name uncultured bacterium. RNAcentral's name for it is "partial 16S ribosomal RNA". It matches the Rfam family "Bacterial small subunit ribosomal RNA", at positions 30 to 523 of the family's 1533-position model. The record is from RNAcentral.